AGUGAACGCUGGCGGUAGGCCUAACACAUGCAAGUCGGACGGCAGCACAGGAGAGCUUGCUCUCUGGGUGGCGAGUGGCGGACGGGUGAGGAAUACAUCGGAAUCUACUCUGUCGUGGGGGAUAACGUAGGGAAACUUACGCUAAUACCGCAUACGACCUACGGGUGAAAGCAGGGGACCUUCGGGCCUUGCGCGAUUGAAUGAGCCGAUGUCGGAAUAGCUAGUUGGCGGGGUAAAGGCCCACCAAGGCGACGAUCCGUAGCUGGUCUGAGAGGAUGAUCAGCCACACUGGAACUGAGACACGGUCCAGACUCCUACGGGAGGCAGCAGUGGGGAAUAUUGGACAAUGGGCGCAAGCCUGAUCCAGCCAUACCGCGUGGGUGAAGAAGGCCUUCGGGUUGUAAAGCCCUUUUGUUGGGAAAGAAAUCCAGCUGGCUAAUACCCGGUUGGGAUGACGGUACCCAAAGAAUAAGCACCGGCUAACUUCGUGCCAGCAGCCGCAGUAA
Molecule: ribosomal RNA, 506 nt
Filed under: uncultured bacterium
Lineage: Bacteria
Description: partial 16S ribosomal RNA
Rfam family: Bacterial small subunit ribosomal RNA
Source: RNAcentral